UGAGCUGGUGGGUUGAACAGAAGUUCAUCCUGUCCUGGUCUAUAGAUAAGACGCACAAAAGCAAAUUGAAUCCCUUGUUGUUGAACUAGUUAUCAAUUUUAGGGAUAAUAUGUUCAACAAGAGUGGAGAUAGUCAGUUACAGUAUCUGUUGUUUGUAUCUUCAGCGUAAAGCAUGUACAAGUACAUUUUAUGAUUUUCAGCAAUAAAAGCUAUUUAUCAGUUCUUUUCUCACGAUGAGUUUGAAAUUCAACUUCAAGAAUAAUUUAAGGUUAUCUUUUCUUCUACUGACAAUUUUGUAAACUUAAACUUGGGGGGAAUAUGCUUCUAGUAUUGUCAUUUCGUGCUUGCUUCUAGUAUUACUUUCUGCAGUUUAUUUUUCCGUCUCUGGCAUCAAACGUACAAGAGAAAUCCCAGUUGUCUCUUUCAACGUUAUUUACUCUUUCGAAUGCUGAGUUUUACUGACACAAUUGGACUGCUUUGUUAGCCUCCUGCAUAUAACCUGUGAUGGAAUAAAACAAAUUGCCAUUUAGUCUCCUUAAGAGCAACAGCGGUUCUGGUUGUAGCAUUUCUGUCGUAUGUAGUCAGCUCAAAGGUCAAUUUUUCUGAACUCUUGCUUUUUAAUGUCAGGUUCUUGAUAUAAUUAUUCUCGAGCAUGGAAUUUUUGCUGUGUGGCUGGCGUUGAUUCAUGUUAAUUGGUGAUUUUGAUCCUUUUGCUCUCAUACGUACCCUAUGCUCUGCUUAUUGACUUAACAGCUUCACUUUAUUGGCAAUUAGUAAUGCAUAACAUAUUUUGCUUCAGGUAUCUUGAUCUCAAUCUCUGUUUCUAUAUUGAUUGCUUUCUCAUGCAGACAGAACCACUAGAGUUUGCGUUGACAAUUUUGUUGGUCUAAUGAGAAAAUUACGAGGAGAUUCUUUAUUGAAGCACAACUGUAGGAUGCCAUGUGAUGAAGUUAAGCCGCAUGGCAGUUUCGAGUCAACACAAUUUACAUUUUCGUUUAGCAAUCUAGUUAAAUCUGUGUUACCCAACAGGAUUCCGAGAUUGAGAACAGCAUCUAUUCAGUAUCCUAAGAAGAGCGUCGGCUUUUCUUCGAGCUUUUAAAGAUCCAUCUGCAGCCAAGCUUUGGAGCGAUGGAAUGCUUCGUGGAUUCAUUAACAGCUUUCUCGCAACAUCCUCACCACCAUCCUUGCAUAGCCCGACCAGCAGAGUUAUCGAAUUCUCCUUUCCCUUGGAAGAUCCAAAUCUCAGGAGAUCGAUAAGAAGAGGAACCAAGAUCCUACUCUUCCUUAACUCUUCUAAUCCUUCACUGCAUCCAAGCAGGAGGGCAAGCACGCCUAAUGCAUCAUCGGUGAUCCCAGCCUUGUCAUCUAACAACAGGUCAAUGAGCAGUGGAACUGCUCCAGCGAGAACGACACUGACCUUAUUAACAUUGUAAACUGCAAGGUUAAAAAGUGCUAUUGCUGCAUCUCUUUUCCCAGCUGUAGUCCCUUCUCCUAGGAGCCGAACUAAGCCCGGAAUGGCUCUAGGACGGGCUCCAAUGAAUAUCUUGUAAUCGUCUACUAUGGACAAACUGAAGAUUGCUGCUGCUGCAUUUUCUCUUGCCUCCAUUGUUUUUCCUGAUUGUAAAACGUCAAUUAUGUUGUCAAUUGCACCAGCAGACAUAAUCAACGUCUUGUUGUUAUCAUAUAUGGAAAGGUUGAGCAGAGCAGUCACUGCAUUUUCCUGGAUUCUUGGAUCAUGAGAAUUCAUCAGAGUUACAAGGAAUGGAAUAGGUCCUGCUUCUGCUAUGAUCCUGCGAUUGUCCGUGCCAGUUUUUGCAAGUAGCCGAAUCUCGUAUGCUGCCUGUCUCUGGAUAUCUGGUGAUCCUGUCGCCAGCUUCCCCACUAAAAACUCAGCCGUCAUUUUGACUGCAUCUGCUGCAGCUUUAGUGGCAGAAAUAUGAUCUACUGCAUUUGCACAUAAUUUUCUUUUACUACUACUCCUUCCCAAAUCUGAAGAGGAUAAUGCAGAUUCCACCAUUGGAAUAUUAUUCUCCUGGCACCAUUGAUGAAUCAGACUUUUCAACACGUAAUUGGGUAUGAGGGCCAUGUGUAUCAAGCGUUGCCCGCUUUUUGGGCAUGUAUGAUGACCUGAAUUAAUCCACUGUGCGAUUGAACUUCGAUCAUAAGUAUGGCCAGAUGCGACUAUGACCGGGUCCCUUAUCAAGUCAAGUGAUAUUGGGCAGCGGUAUUCAUCAGGGAUGUUGAGAAUCAGUGAUUGGGAAGACGAGGGCUGAUCGUAACGGCUAGUAAGAUGAGCAGUGGGUAGCUUUUGAUCCUCCUUGAUCUUCUGAUUUUUUUCUUCGCUGAAGAUCACAGUUUUUGAUAAGGAGACCAGGGAUAUCAGAUUCUUGAUGUUUGAGACCACGAUGAGUCCACCAGUGCCUGCCUGCUUCUCAGCUUCUGCCUCUAGCUUUGAAAUCUCCUCUUCAUAAUCUAAGGGGCUUCUCAGCCCAAUGGUGCCUAAUAUCUCUUUGACUUUACCAUAAUCAGAGGAACCUUUAUUCUUGACGUUCUUAUGAGCUUUAUUGGACAUAAGUUGAAGAAGCUCAUCUCUUCUCUGAAUCUCUCGGCGGUCAAGGAACAAUUCAACCCUUUUUGCCUGUUUGUGGAGAAGCUCGACUUGCUCCCUGGUGUCCAUUGUAAGAUUAAGCAAGCUGAGGGGAAGGAUGUCCAGUGCUCUUCCCAUCUCCUUGACUACUGCAUAGAAUUGAUUCGAAACAAACUCCGUUUGAACUAGAUUCCAUAGAGAACUUCCUUCCUUGCAACUCUCUAUCAAGAAUUUCACUCUUCGUAUAACAGAGAAAAGCUCUGUAAGGCAUAAGACUGAGGAUGGAGGAAGGGUGCCACUUGUUUCUUGAAUCUCUUCAAACAAGGAAGAAAGAAGUCUGAUCCUGCUUAUCAUCGUUGAUAUGUUUUUAACCUGUACAGAAGGAAAUUUUUCGAUCGAAGUAACCUCGUUAGAGAUGUGGAUCAGUGAUUCGAGCAAACCCCCAGCGGGAAAAAACCCUGAGGAGACCAUGAGAGGAGGUAGCGACCCAUCCAUUGCUUUGCAAUGUUCUGAGAGUCCUGUUCAUUCUUAUUUUGCGCGAUCAACAAAUUGUCAGGCUAUAGAAAAACUGGACGGAACAUUCCCCGUUUUGGAAAACAAUUAUAAUAAUGCUAUGGGAUUUUGGCCAUUUCUGUUUGUACUCAUUAUGUAGCUAACAAUAAAAGGUGGCUGGUGGGAGAAGAAAGCAGUCUCUCAAUUUGCUGCCACUUGGAGGGGGAGGGAAAACUGGCCUGCCGUAUUAGUCAUAUUCCUAUCUAAUCUUUUAUUGGGGGUUCAAACAUGCAGGUCUAUUCAAAACAGCUUUGUCAACGCCUUCGUUUGGUAGUUGGUAGCCAUAGAGUCUUUCCAAUACAUUGUCAAGUUACCAUAUAUUAUUUAAUUAGGGGAAUGUCUAAUUCCAGCUGCUUAGGUGUAAAAGUCCUUGGACAGUAAUGCUUGUACUCUACUGCGUAACCUCAACAUAUGAUAAGAGGUCAUUCAUCAGAUAUGAGAUCAUGAUAAUCAUAAGCUUAUGAUGAUCUUGACGUAACAGUUAAGAGACAAUAGGGUUGCACUCCGACGGGGGAUGAAAAGUUGAUUCUCUUAGUUGCUCAUUCUUUCGCAAUUACUACUUACUAGUAGUGGGAUGGCACCUGAAAAUCAGAACAUGUGUAUGGCUUCAUGAACUCAGGAGGGUUUUUGCAUGGUGAUAUUGCGCAUCUCCUAGCUAGCAGAUUGUCUUAGAUGAGCUGAUAAGAAACUUGACGCUUUCAGCUGCUAAGUGCUCAUGUCACUAGGGUCUGCUAAAAACUUCACAGAAUCGGCCAGAAGCAGAUUAGGGACACAUCAGAAUGCCCGUUUUGCAGUGUACAGCAAAAUUAACCGCAUUGCCGAAUGGAUCCGCAAUAUUAUAUAUUUAGGAAACGUAUCCCAGUCACGAAGUUGUUGUACAUUUGUAUCUUCUGCAGUCUCAAGUAAAAAGCUUAAAGAAAGGAAAACUCAUUUGACUUUGAAUGCAGCCGAAUAGCAGCAGCUCUGGCAGAAGAUGAGACAGAAAUGCAUGCGGAGGUUAAAAGUCUUAGUAGAAGAAUAAAUAGGUACGUACUGUAGUUAGUACGAGUCUCAAAGUAUAUAUGAACUGGAUGUGAUGAUUUAUUAAGCUAUUGCACGCGUGGAAGAAGUAAGCAGGUCGUCUUAAAUUCCUUGAUUUUUUGAUCACUAGCUGCUUUUUCAGUAGUUGAUCGAGUCUGCUACUUCAAAUUUAUUGUGGAAGUGGGGAGGCUAGUUGAAUGAUUUUUGUUGUUUUUUUCAGACCUGAAAACGAAUAAGAAACGUCAUUUAAUUUAAGACAGGCCAAUCUGGACAAGCUAGCUAUAGAUCUUGUAUAAUGGAUUUCUUGGUUGCUUUAGAGUUCACCAAAAAGAGCACUCAGGCUUUCUUCUUCGUUGAUCGAAAACCCAAAAGCCACUGGUCAACUCUUGAGGGUGAAAAUUCUGGAGCCGCAACAGAAGAAAACGGCUUUUAUUAUUCUUCCUUUUGCUCGAUACAAAUUCUGGGCAAAAAAAAAAAAAAAAAAACCUAAUCAAACAAAAUAGAGUAAUUUUUUAUGUACCGUAAGUAUAUACACAAAUUGGUGUAAAUACAUUUUACAUAAUCUAAUUUCAAAUUUGAUAUUCACUUUUUGGUCUACAUCUGUUAGUAUAAAAAAAAAAUAUCCACUACACUAAAAUCUAAUAAUAGAUAAAAAUUUAAUUCAGUAAAAUAAUGCAUACACGAAUGUAGCUUACUGUAGCCUCCUGUUUGGAAGGUAAGUUUUUUGAGAAUUUGUCUAAAACUUUACUGUAACUUACUGUAGAAGUUUUUUAAAAAAAUUUUGAAAUGUGUAGAUUUUUGAAUAUUUUGAAGUAUAUAGUUUAAAAAUUUUGAGAAAUUUUUUGAAGUUACUGUAACUAAAAUUUUUAAAAAACUUGGGUUCCAAACAAGGCCGUAUAUCUUUUAAUUAAGGAAAGAACGAACUCAUCAAAUGCAAUUUUUCACUAUUUAGGAAGAAAUUCAGAGAGCACCCCAUUUUUUGAGAAUUGAUUUAAAAAAUCCCACAUUUUGAGAAUUCACCAUAAAAAAACGCACAUUAUAGAGUUUUUUUUUUUUUCAUCACAGUGGGUAUUUGGGUCCGUGGACUGGGUAUUUGGGUCCGUAGACUGGUUACUGUACAACCCAACUAAUUCCACUGUGGGUUGGGAGAGGCCUGAUCCAAGCAUCACCAGCCACGGUAGAACGGGGAUUCGAUCCCUGGACCCAACUGAGACUACAACCACGGAACCGAACCCCGAGGGAGACACUAAAGAAAGACUCUUUGGGUGUGCCUGCCUGGCACUCCAAUAUUUUGAUAUAUUUUUUGUGUUAGACAUAUUAUGUAUUACGAAUAUUUUGUCUGUAUUAAUUGUUAAAAAUAUCAUUACAAUUUUAAAAUACCCUUAUCCAAACGAUUUAAAAGCGCACACUUAUUGUUCUCGUCCAUCAUCAAUCUUCCUUGCCAUUUCUACUUUUGCCGCCGCUGUCCCCACUCCCCAGGCCAGACCUACCACCGUUGGCCGCCGCCGCCGCCGGAUGGAAUUGUCCAAUCCUUCUCGCGAUUCGCGAACCUGCAUAAAGCUACGUCAGUCUUUGCCUAAUCUAAAACUUGAGAGUAAUUAACAAAAGAUCUGAAACGACAGGGCCACCUGGAAGUCCAAAGUUUUGGGCCUAACAGCGUAGUAGAUGGUUCUUUGAUGAAUUAUGAGGUACGGAAUCUCAAAAACCUGUUAUGGCCCAAAACUUCCCCAGGUCAAAUAGCCCACAGGGAAAAUUAUUUCUACCAUUUCUGUUGGCCUUGCUUAGCCAUCAGACCAGCUCCUUGUUGGUUAAAGCAAUGAUCAUUGCAAGGUUUUAACAUUUUUUUUUUCUUUUUUCAGGCCAAAAUAUGUAUUGGAAGGAAAGAUUCUAAAAGCACUUGGCUUUUUAGUGGAGUGUUUUUGUCCCUAUUCUCUAAGGCAGCUGGUGAAAAUUGGACACUUGCAAAAGGGCCCUUAUAUUUCAAAGCUGAAAUGCAAAUGGUCGAGGGAACAAUAAAACACUUUGGACCGACGAAAAUGAAAUCCAAGAUGGGUCAGUCCCUUCCCUUCGUACAAUUGUGGGUCGGCCUGCAGACGUGUGCCUUUCCACAACUUUACCCACGUUUAAGAUUCAAAAAGCAACAAUAAUAACAAAUGAUGAUGACUUCCUAAAAAAAUAAAUAAUAAAUAAAACAUUUUACUGUUUAAUACUACAAGCUUAGGCGGUUUUAUCAUUUAUGAGAGGCUUAAUUGUCCGGUCCCUGGACGCUAAAAGAGUUUUGAUGAAUUUGAAUCUGAUUAUCAUUACAAGUCAAAAGUAUAUCCCUAAUCAUAAGUUGUGUCACAGGACUGUUCUUACAAAUCACUCAUUAAAAGAGUCCUCACAUCGGCCAAGAAAAUGAUUUUCUUUGCUCAUUUUCCUUAAUAGAAGAGACGGUGAACUAAUGGAUUUCACCAUUAGUAUCUGCACUAAAAAUAAAUUUUACUUCUUGCUCGCUCGCAGUAAUGAGCGAUUUGUAAGGAAAAAAUUUAUUUUUUAUCGUGUUCUGCACUACAAUUUUGUCGAGAUUUCUGAUUGUCUUAAACCCAAUACAAGACUAAGUAUUAUAGAGUGAUGAAAAGUCUCUUUAAUUUUUUUUAAUGUAGGGCAAGAUCUUUUCAACACAUUCCAUUGAUUACAACAUUUCCUGCUAAUGACCGUUAAAAGGGGCAAAUCAUACAAACUCUGGAAAAAAAUAUGAUUUUGCAAAUAAAUAAAUAAAUAAACGCCAUGGGAUGGGAGUAGAUACCAAUCAGUCGUCAAAAUUAAAAAAAAAAAAAGGGUGUCGCUAUCAAAUUCGGGGACGAACACUAGUAUAAAAUAAUUCUUGCUCAACUUUCAAACAAGCAACUAGUAGUAAUAAUCAAGUGCAUGGUGGAUGUGGCGUGUGGUUGCCGGCCUCCCUUGCUCUGGUCGUGGCUUGGGAAACGACAAAUGAUUAUUUAAACACUUUCUUCCCAAGUGGGGAGACUUGGGGACGACCAUUAUUAUCAUCAUCUUCUUCUUCUUCCCCUCUUUUUUUUUUUUUUUUUGUGUGUGCUUUCCACCUUUUGAAGUGACAACAAAUUCUUUUCUUUUCCACCAUAGCCACAAUUUUUUUCCCGUGUUGCACUUUCUUCCAACUUGUAUCUGGAUCCUCCUUAAUUUGUCGGUUAGGCGGUUCUGAAGUGUAGUACUAACUUACUGCACAAAUCUCCAAUUAAAUUCCUUUGAAGAAAGUUGUACCAUGCAAAAAGAAAAGACUGAGAACAAAAAUUAAGAAUACCAAUCGAGCCUUUUUCUAAUUUGUUCCAACUAUAUCAAUCAAGCCUUUUCAGUUUUUUUUUUUUUUUUUGGGUUGAGAAUUGUGAACUAAAGAUAAUUGUAUAUACGAAUCUAUUAUCAUAAAAAACAAUAUGUCAUUUUAGAAGUUAUAGACAUAUUAAACUUCUCCCAUUACUUUAUAUUGUUCAGAAUUUUAAAUGUUGGUGAAAGUAUCUACAAAUCAAGAUAGAAAUACCUAAAAUAUAAAGAUGAAAAACAAAAUACUUACAUGAGCGGUGUAGGAGUAGUUCAUAGAAACAAACAAGGCACAACACUCGACGACACCGCAAGUCCUUUCAAUCAGCUUUCUUUUUAAUGGGAUUCCCAUUUCACGUAACUUAGCGGAACUGAGGUGACGAUUGUCUUCUAUCUCCCAAGAGGGCCCCUAAAUCUUUAUAUCCUACCCACAUUUCAACUUCUUUAUGGUGGAUUUUACCUUCAAAAGCAAAGGUUAUAUAUUACCACCAAUCUCCCAGAUACUCCAGUUUUUUGUUGCUUGGGAUUCCAUUUCAGUCUGGAGAUAGUCUCAUCAUAUGACAUUAUGGAUCAUCAUUUUAGUACCUAAACUUGCUCAGCUGCCUUUGUGGAUUUUGAGGUUGCUCAUCAAUUUCUAGUGAUCACUGACCAGUAGUGUAUUUUCUCCGUGGCGCAGGCAGUCAAGGAGUUUCUACACCUAACAAGGGAAAAAGUAAAUCAUAUUUAAGGAGUGGAACUUUCUUGCCUAACAGGAAAAUUCUAACAGGAUGGAUGUCAGUGCAAUUUUGAUGGUGAAGAUUUGCGAGAUUUUAGUUUCAUCCGUUCAAAAGAUCCUACAUCAUCUAUGCGGGAAUUGAUGUGAACCCUACCAAUCUAACAAGUCUUUUCUUGAGGUAAAAAAAAGGAGAAAACGGUGUCCUCGCUGAACACAAACACGAAAAAAAAGGGGUGACAUGUGCAGUGAGUUAUACUAAACUUUUUGAUAUUUUUAUUUCAUCAACUUAACUAUUUUUUGUGUCAAAUGGUCUACCAAAGUCCUAAAAGUAUUUCAUGGGCUACUUGAUACGAAAAAAAAAGAGAUACCAAAAAAAAUUAAUGAAUGCAAUGAGAAUCUUAAACAGUGUAAUAAUAUAUACUGCACAUUUUACUCCCAAAAAAACAAAAAUCGGACCGAAAGUCCGAAAUUUUAGUGGCAAUCUUUGCCUUUCAAAGAUCGACUUGUAUUUGUGUUGAACUUCUAUCCUACAUAAUUGAACAGUCCAACGAAAUGAUUCCGGUUGAAUUGGUUGAACCGGAAAUUAGUACUACCGUACAUAUAUCACAGCUUAAGAAUUUCGAGGCCAGGUAAAAUUGUGGCGUCUAGUGUUGCAAAUAGGACUGUCAAUAGGCUGGACCAACCCGAGUUCGGCUCGUUCGAUCAGACAAAAAGCCUUAUAAACCCGACCUUUUAGUGAGUUCGUCUGAAUUUGAGUCUCAAAAUUAAGUCCGAAUUAAAUAUGAGCCGAGUUUGGGCCUUAUCAAGUUCAAACUCGAUAUACGCGUGACCCUUUAAUUAUCUAUAUAUAUAUAUAUAUAUAUAAUAUUGAAAAAUUUGUCAAAUUGAUCCCUAACAUUUUCAUAAAAAACUUUUUUAGUCCUUAACAUAUAAAUUAUGAGCCAAUUUGGUCCUAAUGCUCGUAUUUGCUCAUUUCUCCGACUAAAAAUAGUACAUCUUUCUCACGUGGAUAUAAUUUUAAGGGCAAAAUCGGAAGACAUUCGUUAAUCCAUGGUUUUAGAUUCUAAAAGAAAGAGAAUAUUCUCUUCAAAACUCAACUUCUCAAUGGCUACUCUUUCAUAACUCCACACACUCCUCCUAGAAUCAAUCUUGAGUCAUUUUCCCUGCACCUACUCCAUCAGAUGCAUUCCACCAUCACCACUAAUCCAAAGCCUGAUAAUCUCAAGAGAACCAAAAAACUUGAAGUUUGAAGAAGGUGAAAUUUUGCAUUUUGCAAUCCUUCACGAAAUCCCAAAUUGUUGAAUCCUUCAGAAGCUGCGAUUGUUCAUCCUAGCAUUCUCCAUACCGUUCUUUCCAUCGUUGAUGACAUCCCAUCCAACCGCAAGAUUUUUAUCAAAAGUCUAUGGUUUGUUACUUUCAAGAAUGUUGAGUCUUUCUUGCUUGCCCUAGAAAGCCCCAAAAAUAAAAUUGAUGGGUUUGUCAGCAAUGGGUUUAUCAGCAAUAAAAUUGGUAGAGAAUGUGCCAAACAACUGAGAUGAGUUCUGAGACUUUGUUGAAUUAUUUUGAGAGAUAUAGUGAAAUUGAAAAAGGGCUUGGGGGUUUGAUAUGGGGACAGGGAAAUCAAGGAAAGUGCAAAAGCUGCUUUGACUGAGAAGGUGAAAUUUGUUGAUGGUUUCCGACUAGUUUGCAAAAUGGUGUCGAGGGAAGGGAGAAAAGUAAUAGGAAUCCAAAGGGGGUUUUGACUGUAAAAUCAUGGAUUAAUGAAUGUUUUUCGAUUUUGCUCUUGAAAUUAUGCCCAUGUAAGAGAGGUGUGCUGUUUUUAGUCGGAAAAAUAAGCAAAUAAGAGCAUUAGGGCCAAACUGGCUCAUAAUUUAUAUGUUAGGGAUUAUUCUGGCUGAUUUUAAAUGUUAGGGACUAAAAAAAUUUUUUGUGAAAAUAUUAGGGGAUCAAUUUGACAAAUUUUCCUAUAAUAUUUAUAUUUUGAUAUUAUAUAUAAUUAUAUAUCCAAAUAUAUUAUUAUUAAAUACUAAAUAUACAUAAAUUACAAAAUAUAAAAAUACAUCUAAAGACUCUUCCAUGAGCUUUUUGAGAGUCAAUAUUAGUAAUGCAUAACUAAAUCUCUAACUUUUCUUAUUAGUUGAAUAAAUUUUUGUGUUGGCAUAAUAUUGGUUGAUUUCUUUUUGGUUUACAAACACAAAUCAUCAAGCAUGUUUUGUUUCAAAUCACAAUAUUAUAAAAAAAGUUUCAACUUUUAAAGAUGUAUUGACUUAUGAUCGCAUGUUUUAUUACUAUUUUUCAUGUAUUUUGAACGAAUUAAAUAAAAAUAUUGUUAAAAAAUUGUUGGUUUAUAUACUUUUUAAGAACUAUUGUUUGUUCAUGUUUAGUUUUAAUAUUAUAGUCUUGUAAAUGUUAAAUUAAUUUUACAACUUCAUAGUUAUAGUAAUUAUAUUAAGAAAAUUAAGGAGUAAUAAGUAAGCUUGGGCUAAACUCGAUUAAGACUCACAACCCGAAUAUUAUGUGAGUUGAGUAUGAACUUCACAUUUAUAAAUCCGAAACUCAUAGCCCGAAACCCUAAAAUGUUCCAAAUUAUAUAAGCUGAGCUUGAACUCACGGAAGCCCGACUCAUUAGGCCUGAUUAACAGGCCUAACUGCAAAACGACUUUUCGGACGAAACGUGUAGAGGACUAUCGGUCAAGCGUCAAAAACCGACCAAAAAAACAAAAGAAACAAAAAAGAAAUUCAUGCUUGUGUAUAUUUCAUUAAAUUGCUUUUAAAAAUAAAAAAAAAAUCACUCAUUCAGGAAGUAGUACUGGUACAGUUUAUACGUGUAUCUAAAUAUCUUACUGGUAUCAAAAGUAUACUAUUGCAUCACAAGUACAACUUGGUCUCUUGUGACAAUUAUAACUUACGAGAGUUAGGAGACAUUAUUGCCGGUGGGAAACGAGUAAAUAAAGCAAAGCAAUUCUAGCCACCCCAUCUAAUAUUAGUACGAUCAACAUCAAAUUCUAAUACAAGUGCUAUUUCUGGUUGAAAGUAAAUCUACCUAUAUGCAUAAAUAUUUAUUAAUUAGCAAAGCAGAUGUUUACAAUGUAUAAUAUAUACGUACUAUAUAUAAUCAGAAGAAGGAGCCGCAGCAAAUGUUGAAGGUCCAAAGGCUGUUUUUUUUUUUUUUUUUUAAAAAAAAAAGAGAUGUUUUGAAAUUAAUAACGAAUUAAAUUAAUGAGAAGGCAAGAAGAACCUUUGUCGUCUACUUUUAAUACGAUAGUUUGAUCCAGUACUAGUGGUGCAUGAGGCAGCAAUCCUACUCAACACUAGUUUUAGUGACUGCUUAAGUGUGUUGCCGCAAAUCCCUCCUUCCACACUACUACUAAUGGGGCAAAGGAUGAAACUACUUUUGAUUCUGCCCCCCAAGCUGAUGACAUUUGCUUCAACUGUGGUCAGCCGGAGGCUUUUCAGAGCCCGAUUCAGCUCCGAAAAGAAUUCUGGCCGAUCAUCGCAGCAAACACAAGCCUUGAGCAAGAUUUUCCGAUCCUUGGCUAUGGAGCUGCAGUAUUCAUCAUCCACAUAAUCGACUGUGACUUCGUCAACAUCAGUUGGGAUCAUCAUGCAAUUGCUGAUCUCCGUCGUCUUGCUCUUCAUUUCCUUCACAUGCUCAACCACACUGCCCAGUAGAGCUGCCUUGUCCAUCUAUGUCAAGAUAAUUUUAUUUAAAAAAAAAAAACAAAAAAUUAAACACUUCGACAAAGCCUAACUAAAACAAAGUAGUUUUAAUCUGUUUAUAUAUUCAGGAUCAUCCACACACUCUUGUUUGAUCCUUCCAUUGAAAAUUGAACAUUCCCUCUCUCACUUGUGCUGAAAAGGGCAUAAUUUACAUCUAACGCUUCUCGUUGUUGUAUCUUUUGCUUCCAAGGCAUCAAACCUAUCGAAGGAGAGAAUUAGCUUUGGAAAUAUUAUCCAGUGUUUUGGCUGCCUUGGUUUUCAAGUUACCUCAACCUUCUGACUUGUGUGUAUGACAGAUUAUGCACCGGAAAAAAUUAGACAUUGUUUGUUGCGACAACUGUUAGUAUAUCCGUGUACUGGUAGUAUCUGAAUUGAUGGAAAUACUAUUUUCUUGAGGCGAAAAUUACGUGCGGGAUCUUCCCGGCCAUGAUCUUGCAAGUUAAUUUGGAGAACUUAAUUAGCAACUUAAUAGAAGAUGACUAAAAGAAGAGCAUCUUGAGCUAGUCGAUUAAUUAAGCUUCAGAUCACAGGGAGAGAAUCAGGUUUUUUAUUUUUUCUGGAAGGUGGUGGUGGCCGGCCCGGGGGGGGGGGGGUUGGGGUUGUGCUAAUUACCUUUUCAGACUUGGGAAUCAGUUUCCUCAGAGUAGCAAGCUGCGCGUUUAUCCGGUCCCUACGCCUCUUCUCCGCUUCACUAUGGCUUCUAGAGGCACUUGCAGCCCUUCCCUCGGCGAACCCUUCAGCGGGAAUCGACCAGGGAUGCAGGGAGAAAGGAUAGCCAUCGAAGUUGAAAGAUGAAGCUUCAUCUGGAGUACUAUUAUUAUUGAGCUGUGGAGCUAGAAAGGGCAAGUCCAUGCUGUUUUGUUCAACAGCAGCUUGGUGACAGACUUUCCAGGCUGCAUCUUCUUGUAAAUCAGCCGAAGAAAAACAAUUUGCCAUGUCCUGUGUAUGUGGUGAUAGAAAAAGGUCUAGCAAACAGGAUAAUCUCUUUGCUUUUUAUCCCAAAUCUAGAGCUGCUAUUUAUUUUUCAAUACUAGAAAUGAAGAGAAAUGUGUGAUCUUCGAGAAUUGAUUGUGACUGGCGUGACAUAUAGUGGCCUUUAAUCUGUCACAUGAAAAUCAUUUUUGGACCUAUCUUCGGGAGUCACCUAAGCAUCAGAACUUUUGUGCAUUAGGAAACAAACAGUUUCAGCCGUAAAGGAUCUUAAAUGCUCCACAAAAUAAUAUGCUCUGUCAGGGCAUUAGUAUUAGGCAUUAGGUGAGGCCAAGGCUCUCGGCAAAUCCUCUCUCGUCUUUGCGCGUGUGAUGGAUUUGUCCGGUAAGGUCCAAAUUUGCGACAGCGGAAGUCAAUGAAUUGCUAUAUAGCGUUUUGGUCAUGGAGUUAAAAUCUUCUCAAGCGGGCCCUUGAAUCUUGUAGUAGCUCCAUUUAUAUCUCGUUGGAUUUCUUUUUUGCUUUUCAAAUGAUGAUUUCACUAAUGGAUGGACAUCCAUUAAGCGGAGUUUCAAUUAUCAAUGUUUUGACAAAAAUAUUUUUAAUUUGUGAAAGAUCCAGAUGCUGAGAUGCAAUAAAUAUGAAUGCAUGUAUUCAUAUGAUAUAUUUAGUAAAAUGUUAAGUGUAUUAAUUAGGACAACACCUGUUAAAAAAAACCCCUUAUGGCCCGUUUGGUUCAUGGACCCGGAUGAGAUAGAUUGACUCAUUCUUGGAUUAUUAAUUCUGAGUUGAGUCAUUUUCACAUAAAUAAUCAAAAUUAUCUAGUGUUUGGUUGGUUCUGAGUUGGAUAGGAUAUGUUGGGAAAUAAUCCUGUCCUGUAUUUGGUUGAAAAUUGGAUGAAAUAGUAUUAAUAUUUUAAUGACCAAAGCACCCCUUAAUUUGUAGAUUCUUAUUAAUAAAAUAGUUUAAUAUUUUUAAUAAAAAGUUUAAUAUUUAUAACCUUUAUUCAAAUAGAGUAGUUUGAAACUUUAGAAUUAUAAAGCAAAUCAACGAUUUUAAUAUAUAAAAUUUGCUUUCACUGAAACUCAACCCAUUGGAGCCAUUAGAUUUUGACCAAGUUUUUGAACCUAAAUUUGAAAUCCAAUUAAAUAAUGGGCUGAAUUUUGGCUAAAUUAGGGUUAAAUCGAUUAAAACCUAACCCGGUUAAGAACUUUAAAUGAGCCAAAAUCAAGCUAAUAUAGAAGUUUUUUUAAGGCCAAGUUUGAAUUUAUUAAAAUCCUCUUAUAUAUAGAUAUAGAAUUUGGUUUAGAAAAUAAUUAAGCUAAGUAAAGGUAAUUUGGUUCAAGGAAAAUAUAGUCUUUCUAUUACGAUGUUAGUAUGGCAAAUUAGUCAAAAAAAUGUAAAUUAAUUAAUAGGCAUAAAUUAGUCAACUUUUUAAAAAUAAUGAAUAGGAGCAAAUUAGUAAAAAAUUUUUAACAUUAUUAGUAGGGGCUAAUUAGUCCCUUUAUUAUCAUAUUAUUAUGUGAGAGUAUGGUUAUCUAAAUCAUUCAUAAGUGCAAAUUAGUCCAAAUAUUGUUAUACAGGUAGUAAGGGCAAAUUAGUCAAACAAAUUUAAAAUUAAUUAGUAACGCAAAUUAGUCCAUUUAUAUUAUAUGAUCGAGCAAAAGCAGGGUUAUAUAAUUAUAAGAAUAUAAAUUUAUAUUUUUUGUAAGGAUAAAUUAAUUUAAAAUUUUAUCAUCCUAUGCAUCCUGCGAUAACUAAUAUCACCUCUCCCAUGGGAUUAUUUUAUCCCAUAAACAAAGGAUUAAUUCAGUUAGGUAGGAUGCAUGAUUCCAUAUGUAAAAUGCUAUUAGGAUGAUACAGGACGAUUAAUCCGAUCCUGUAUCAUCCCACGAAGGAACGGACACUUGACGAUUGCCAUCAAACCAAGUAAUAUCUCUAUUGUACGCAUACCGGAUCAAGCCAUUGUCUUUUACAUUGUUUUCUCUCUCUUUCGGUGGCUUUGCAUAAGAGCAGGGAAAAGAAAUAUGAUCUGAUGAUUGAUUGAUCUGAGAGGUCGAUGAUUUUGCUCCGAAAGAUUUUGGUCAACUAUGGGAAAGUAAGGGACCAAAUUAGAGACUGUAAUGCUCGAUCUCAGCCCGAUUUGCGCAAAUUGCAACUUGGAUCAGUAGUAUUAAUUGGCCGCAUGUGCAGCAUUGCUUUCUUUCUCCUUGCUCCUGGGCCAUAUUCGUAUUAAUUUGCAAUUUGGAUUUUGGAGAAUGUACUCUUUUUUUUUUUUUUUUCCUUCCUUUUCCAGUAACGGUAAUAUUAGUAUUACUUAAUCUACUCCAUUUUACAAAAAGGAGAAUUAAAUAGGCUGUGUAAGAACAUGAUUCUUUGAAUUUUUAUCACUGCAGGUGGAUUUAAAUCUGGAACCUAUAACCCCAAAUGAAGAUUUAGUCCCCUUUUUGCGACAAGUGAUCCAAAGCUCAGUAGUUGAGUUUGGAGAAUGUACACAUACCCUAUUCUUCACACAAACCUCUAUGUGAACGUCAUUAUCAUGUCAAGGCAACCAUUUUGCGACACCUGUAAUGGCGUGUUAAUUUCAACGCGUGCAAUUUGAUGGACAUAAAGCCACGACUUGCCUCUCAGAUGUGCGUGGGGGAUGCCCAAAAAUUCUUCUUCAACAGGAGGAGCAUCCAGCCAAUGCUACUGUUUAAACAUCAACACUAGUGCAAUAUAUAUAGUUGACUAUCACUAAAGAUCCAUUGAACAUUUUCCUUUUGGGGAUCUUAAUGAGUUCUAAUCGAGCGCAAAUUGAUGUGCCUGGCUAGAUGUGAUCAAGCGCAGGCUUCACCUCCAAUGGAGGCAGAUCAUUGCGCUUGUCAUGAUUUGCCUAAUUACAUAUAUAGCAGAGCUCGUUAGUAUUCUUACAUGCCAAAAUUUCAAGCGUCUUUGAGGGGCUCGCAGCAUAUUUGCAGCUCACGAUUUAUGGCCUUUUCCAUAGCAAUUUAUACUUCAAUUACAGUAGUGUAGUCUAUCUCAAAAAGAUUCCACCUCUACGAUAUUAAGCGAAAACCACCUAAUCCCGUGGUACUGUACUAGGAGAGAAAAGGGCUCGAAGCAAAUGCAAUGAAGAAGAAAAAAAAAAAACGCGGAUUCGAGCCCGGCGGUGGGAAAAAUAAAAAAGGAUGAAAUUAAUUUUAGUCAAAAGUGUCUAAAUGCAGAAUGUGCAUUAACUACGAGCAGGUGUGUGUAUUUACGUGUUAAACUGGGAGUGAAAGUUAACAUAAAUGAGAAAACGAAAGGUUGAAAGAAGUUGUGUAAUUUGGUCGUCCGGUGCCAUCAUGGAUGUGUGUGUGUGUGUCAAACGUGAAGCAAUAUAAGUGGUGGGAAUGAAAUGCGAUUUCUCAUUGAAGGAUUGUAAUUCAAUAUGACCUUGUAAAAAGAAGAAAUAAGGCAUCUCAUCCUCUUGUUUUUUUUUUGUUUUUUUUUUUUUAUCGCCCUUCCCUCCCACCCAAUAUGUGUACUGCAUCCGUUCAAAUGCAAAAUGAAUUGCAGAUUUUGAUCUGUGUUUAGGCCUUUAUAGGUUUCCUUCUCAUGGAUGAGUCCAAAUAUGAACCGUCUCGAGGGUUUCUUCUUUUGUGAAACUGAGGCCCUUUUUCUCCAAUUGAAUUGAAACCUACUUUUGUUGACGAAUCAUCAUUUCCCUAUAACCUCAUGAGGCCACAUUGUGUAGUCUACUUUGUCUGUUGAACUAUCACGUCUAUUAUCUAGUGAUGCAUAUGUCCUGCACUUGAAGAUGCACCCCAUGUCUAAUUAUUUCCAACAUGCUAAUUUCCCAAUCCCUAGAGUUUGUUGAUAUGAGGAGGGAGCAAAACGGUCAAUUCCUUUCGGUUGCCAAGUCCUUUUCAAAGGUCUAUGUAGAAAUGGGAGAUCAAUGAUGGUUUCGUCUCCUCCUAAUUUUGAAGGAUGUAGAAGAUCAAUUGAGCACAAAAAGGUAUCCAUCCAUUAAUUUUGAAGGAUGUAGAAGAUCAAUUGAGCACAAAAAGGUAUCCAUCCAUAAAUGGCCCAUGCAGGUCUCGAACCUGCGACCUUCGCGUUAUUAGCACGACGCUCUAACCAACUGAGCUAAUAGGCCAAGUUGUCGCUAGGUUGUCUAGGCAAAAUUCUGAAUUCACACCAGUCCCAGACUCUUUGAGCCCUAUAAAUAACGCAGGCAGUGGCAGUACUAACAUAUCUUUUAGAGUGAACGAACAAAGGAAGAAAGAAAGAAAGAAAGAAGAGCCAUGAAGAACCAAGAACCUCGUUCAAGCUCUUCUUGUGCCGCUUGCAAGUUCUUGAAAAGGCGGUGCAUCCCCAACUGUCAAUUUGCACCGUACUUUAGGUCGGACGAGCCCAAUAAGUUCGCCAAAGUUCACAAGGUAUUCGGAGCCAGCAAUGUGAGCAAGAUUCUGAAUGAGGUCCCUGAGGAGCAAAGAGAGGACACCGUGAAUUCGCUCGUGUACGAGGCCGAGGUACGGCUGAGGGACCCCGUUUACGGUUGCAUUGGUGCAAUAGCUUCUCUGCAGAAGAAGAUGGUAGAGCUUCAACAUGAUCUGCUUCUUGCUAAAGCUCGUCUUGCCUACUGUGCCACCACUAAGCCAGCGCCCACUUCAGCCAUAUUCUUGGAGGGUCCUUCCAAUAUCGCUUCCAACAUUGAUUUUCCGGCUUCUGCUGGCUUGGAGUUGGAGGAGGCUUUCUAUCACAAUUCCUCGGUCAUGGGUCAAAAUGCCAAUGGAUGGAUGAAUGAAUUAGGCCAGUUCCCGCUUGUGUGAUGUGACACGCUCACAUUCCUAUUUUUGCUUCUGAUUCUGUAGGGGCUGCAAAAACAAACCUGAUGUACUUUGCUCUUUGAUGAUGUACUGCUAUAAUUUCUAAUCUUCCAUUGAAGAGAAUUUAUCCUUGAAAAGGCAAAGUACUAUCUAUACCUUUUAUCUACUCUCUCUCUCUCUCUCUCUCUCUGUGUAUAUAUAUAUGUAUGUAAUGGUGCCUAUUUCUUGUUUUAGAUUUUCAGAACAGAAGGUCUCUACCAUUUUAGAUUUCCUCUUUUACUAUGUGAAUCUUGCGCCUCUUCUGAAAGUAUUACUACUAGCUUGCCACUAUUUGACGUGCUGUGUGAAUAAGAAAAGUUAUAAAUAUGCUAGUCGUUCGCUUAAUUAUGUGACAUGUUGAUACAUUCCAAACAGCGACAUGUUUUCUUUUCAUCUUUUUUCCAGUUCCAACUUCAUGAGGGGAAAUUUAACAACAUUUUAUUAGUAAAAUUUAUAUUCAUCGGCGAGCAUGAAAUUUCUCGAAAUUUCAACUGCUUCUCCUUUAAGCAAAACAUAUACCGUGUGGUUUUUUAGUGUUUCCGCGCAGACUAAAAGAACCUCUGUUCCAUUUCACCUGUUGCCAGGGUACGACGGACCAAUGUAAACCUGUAGUUGCCUUGGGAGACCGGAUUUUACAAAUGCCAAACCACCAACAGAGAUGCCAUCUUCAGGACGAAACCAGAGUCCGCAAACCUGCGCAGCGCCGCAAUGCACUGACCAUCGUCCCAUGGGGUGACUACUGCAAUUCAUCAUUGUUCCAAUUGCAUUUCUAAUGUUUUGCUAAUAUUUUCUUGAAGAAUUCUGCAUAAACAGUACUGAUCGUGUUUGGACUGAUAUUUUGUCCAAAUAAUGACCUGCCUGGGGGGUACUGUAGAGAAUGAGGACACAUCGCCACCAAAUUACAGUUUGAGAGGGUAAACAGUAAAAAAGAAAAACAAAUCAAGGGUGAAAAUUCUCUGGUUAACGACUACCUAACUCACCCCGUGUCUAUUCCUUCCCAUUUUGAUUUAGCUGAAGCAACGUUGUUGUAUGCCCAAAACUUUCUUCAACCGAGCUUCUCACUUCAGGGAAGUUGAAAUUCCCUGCCACAAAACUGAGGACUGCUCUCGCUAGAGAUGCGGACAAUUCUGUCUGCAUUGUGGAAGGAAUCGGCUGUUCCCAUAGCAUUGAAGUGUAGGUUCCACAACCAGAACUUUACGAGUAACUGUUUCAAAAAUAGGAGUUUUUUAUUAGAAUCAUGUAGUAAAAACAAAAGGGUAAAGAAUGUUUCUUUGUGACUCUGUGUUCAGAUUGGUCAAGAAAUCCAAAAAAUUACCGAAUACCAAAAGGAGGACAUUAGAGAUUAAAUUCAACUUACCUUCUCAUUUCUUUUCUCUUGUUGGACUAUUUUAUUUUACAUUUCCCCAGGAGCAAUUUUGUGCGUAUUUUUUUUUUAUUCAUAUGAUAUUUGAUAUGUAUCGCCCCUCCUGGGCAGCUCGUCUGGCAGCGCACGCCUCCUUAGGAGUGCUUGCCAGGGGUUCGAGUCGUGCAGGGUUACCGUGUUCGGGGGGAUGGGGCCUCUCCUCUCGGGCCGCAGGGGAUUAGUCGGGCCACCUUCGGGUCUUGACCCGGACACUCCUGUGUCGAUAAAAAAAAAAAAAAAAAAAAAAGAUAUUUGAUAUGUAUCACUGUGUAUUGGCACGUUUUGUCCCAUUUGAUGAUUUGCAUAUCGUGAAGGCCAGCCGAAUACGAGGGUUGAGGGCUAGAUGGUAGGUACCCUGUAUCUUUUACUCACAGAUAGGCAAUCCUCUAUGUCGGAAAGUACAAACCUAUGUGACCAAAUUUGGGAAAAUGAUUUUGAGUUGUGCCAACCUGGGCGUUAUAUCCCUCAGCUCAUUGUGCAUAACAUCGUUUCUUAAAUGAAAGAAACAGUUCAUUAAACUUUAAUCUAAGCAUUCAGCAACCAAAAUCAGGCUAGCAAUUACACCUUCUACUGCUGCAGAUUUGUUGAAAGUCACAUGAACAUACUAGAAGUAAAUUGAGUAAUGUACAACAACUAGAGCAACAACAAAUAUUGACAACAGCUAAGACUCUGUAAAUUCAAUUGAUGUUCUCCUACAAGCGCUUAAGAACUAAGCACUACUUUGCCAGUCUUUGGGGUGGGCUUGUAACUGCUCUGACUUCCGAGAGUUACAUGUUGAUGGCAUCUCGGCUACAUCUUCUUUCCUGUAAAUUGAGUAGAUCACAAGAAAAAAGCUUUAGCCUCGUACAAAACAGCCUCAAUGUGAUAAGAAGCCAAAAGUUACAUUUACGUAUCAACAUUUCUGCUGUCCAGCAGAGGAGAGGAAUCCUUUUCCUCCCAUUGUACCGUCCAUGACAAGCAGCUCGAAAUGAGCACAAGGUUGUGCCAUAGGAAUACAAAUUACUGUGAGAUCAUGAAGUGGCAAGUGUUCCACAGUAUGCUACAACCACUACUUGUGCUUGGGCACUAUCAUUAAGACGAGCACAUUCACUAUGCACCACAAGCAUUACUUAAGCAGGCGAUUUUGCUAAAACCCAACCAAAUUGUAUAGCUAGUGAAUGUGAACCAUGUUUGAUCAGGAUUAUGCACAAAACUAAUACAGAUUACCAAUUAAGCGUGAGAAGAAAAGGAUGCUCAAUGGGGGUAAUACGUUAUUUAGUGUUAGACCAAUGCAAAGAACACACUAAACCUAGAGUUUUGUCAGUGUUCUCACUCAGCUAAUAACAUAUUACAUACACAUAACCAGUGCAUGACUAGUUUGGGAGAUAUAUUUCACCUUAUUCCAGUAGGUAAACUUCAUAAAAAGCAUGGCAUAAUAUUCCCGCACAAGAGGCCACACUCAGUACCUCGUAGCUUGUGCUUGCAUGAUACAUACUACAAGAUCAGAAAUCAGAACUACUCGUAUAUUGGAUAUGUGAAGUAUUGUAAUACCCAUUGAUGGAGAUGUCAUCAAAGGUUCCGAAGAACCCUAGUUAAGCAAUUCUCAAAAUAUUUCUAAUAAUGCAUGUAUUGACAACAUUUUCUUGAAUCAACAAAUCAUUCAUGAUGCUUAACUUCAGGGAGAAAACAAAACCAUCAUUACAGAAGAAGGAAAAUUGAUGCUGCUAGAACUUCAUUAUAAGAUUCCAAUGAAUUACAUUCAACAGCAUAUGUAGACACAUUAAAUUGGGGCUGUAUUGUCAUAUUUCAAAGGACCAGAAUCUUGAAAAGGAUUACGCACCUUAACAGAAUCUACAAUAUGGUUAAGGAACUAAUGUGAGCAACUCAUUUCAAAAUGAUAUUUGCAUAGACUGCAGGCAGUUCAAUGAACUAGAACUGACAAAAAGCAACCACUGACCUUCAAAUAAUCAGAUCAUAGUUUGAUCAACUAGUUGUGGACUUAAAUCAUCAGUAAAUCCCUAGCAAGGGGAAGAAGAUCAGGACACCCAGUUAAUGUAAGCCCAAUGGUGACAAGGCCAUCAGCAAUAAAUUUUUGGUUUUUGUUGGUUACAAACUAGCAAACAAAAUCAAAGAAGACAUCAAAACAACUACGCAAACUGUAGAAAAGCAUCAUAGAGUGUAUACAUUGGAGACCGUCCCAAACAUAAUUCAAAACUUUAUGAGCCACUAUAAGAACCAACGGUAUGUAGCACAAAAGGAAGGACACUUUUAAGGCAUCUUCGCUGAUACCUCUAGCAUACCUUACAAUAAAUCAUUUUCCUCUUUGUAAGAUGCAAGUGAACUUAGAUGACCAAAUGCAGGAAAAUCAUGACCGCAGAACAACCGCCUAGUAUUAAUAUAAAAAAUGUAAACGAUAAAUCUGUUAGAAAUAUUUACCGUUGUUAAUUAAUCAUAUUUGUUUAUACUACCUAAUAAGUGGAGUUAGUGGAAUAACUAAUGGGAUUAGUGGAGUACCUAGUGGAAUUGCUAGUGGAGUGAGUGGAGUUAUUGGGAUAGUUAGUGGAGUUAGUGGGAUAGUUAGUGGAGUUGGUUUAAACUCUAUAAAUAGAGUAAUUUUAUGUUAUAAGUUGUGUGAGUUUUACAAAGAAAUAAACAUUUUGUCAUUUGCUUCUCUUAUUAUUUGCCUCAAUACUUGUAUCAGUGGUAUCAGAGCCGAUGGUUCGGUUGGACGGUGACUCCAAGGUAAAAAGCCAGUGGGAGUGGUAAGGCGUGGCUUGGAUAAGAACGGGGGGAAAAAAAAUUAUGCAGACCUACAGUGAGGCAAGGGCACGUGAGCUCUUGAACAAGAAUCGUACACUCCAGAUUGAAGUGGGCUUGAUGCAGUGGAUGGGCUAGGAAGAGAGGUCCAAUGUGGAAGAGAUUCACAAUUGAGGAAGAGAUUGUUGGGAUAUCAAGUGUGAAUCAAUGUCCCACAUCGGAAAGAGAUGAGUAGAAUGAGGAACAUAUAAGUGGGAAUGAUCCAUAGAUCCAAAGCCUUAAGGUUUUGGGUUGGAUGUGGUAUCAAACCCAUGGUUGUGGUUCCCAUUCUAGCUCAUGGUUAAAUUCUCCCCGAGUUUGGCUCUCUCAAAAUCCAACAAAGUGGUACCAAAGCUAGGCUUGUGAGUGAAAACAAAAAUGAGUUGUGAGAAUUGUGUUAGUAAAUUACGAUGGCCACUGACAAUUUUGUGUAGCCAGCAAUUCCUCGCUUUGAUGGUCACUAUGAUCAUUGGAGUAUGCUAAUGGAGAACUUCUUGAGAUCCAGUGAGUAUUGGUAGGUUGUCGAAUCUGGAGUAGCAGAGCCAAAAGCCAGAGAAAUAUUGUCAGAGGUGCAAAAAAUGGAGUUGGAAGCAUUGAAACUGAAAAAUCUUAAAGCUAAAAAUUAUCUUUUUCAAGCUAUUGAUCGAGCCAUUUUGGAGACAAUUCUUAGCAAAGAUACCUCCAAACAAAUUUGGGACUCCAUAAAGAAAAAGUAUCAAGGAAAUGUAAAGGCGAAGCGGAUGCAGCUUCAAACUCUUCGGACCGAAUUUGAGACUUUACGCAUGAAGUCAAGCGAAUCAGUCACUGAUUAUUUCGCAAGAACGAUGGCAAUCGCUAACAAGACGAGGAUCCAUGGAGAAAAUUUGAAGGACGCCAUCAUUGUCGAGAAGAUUCUUCGAUCAAUGACAACAAAAUUUAAUUUUGUUGUAUGCUGUAUAGAGGAAUCGAAAGAUAUUGAUGCAAUUUCAAUUGAUGAGUUGCAGAGUUCUUUGUUGGUUCAUGAGCAAAAUAUUAACCAGCAAGAGAAAAAGGAGCAAGCACUGGUGGCUUCAACAGAAAGUCACUCAACAUGGAGAGGAGACAGAGGUAGAGGCAGAGGCAGAGAAAAUAAUAAUCGUGACAACCAACAACAACAAUACCAGCACCAAGAAAAUCAAUUUCAAGGAAGAAGAAGAGGACAAGGAGGCUAUCCAUUAACAAAUCAAAGGCCAAAGUCAGUAGACAAGUCCAAUGUUGAAUGCUACAAAUGUCAUAGAUAUGGCCAUUAUCAGUCUGAAUGUUGAACUAAUUUGAAUAGACAAAAUGGAGAAAGGACUAAUUUUGCAGAAAAAGAAGAAGAAGUGUCUCUUUUGAUGGUGUGUCACAUGAGUGAAGAAACUCAACAAAACACGUGGUAUUUAAACACCGGUUGCAGCAAUCACAUGUGUGGAGAUAAAAAAGCAUUCUCUGAAUUGGACGAGUCAUUCCGUAACACUGUCAAGUUUGGUGACAACUCUACAAUUUCUAUUAUGGGAAAAGGAAGGGUAAUUAUCCAAGCUAAAGAAAAUUCUUCUACCCACAACAUUACUGAUGUUCUUUUUGUUCCAGACUUAAAGACAAAUUUGCUUAGCGUUGGUCAGUUGCUCGAAAAAGGAUAUGAAAUUUCAAUCAAAAAUGGUGUAUGUCAGAUUCGAGAUGCAAAGUUGGGCUUAAUUGCUCAAGUUAAGAUGACGACAAAUCGUAUGUUCCCACUCUAUUUGCAGAACUUGCCUCAUUCAUGUUUCUCGACAAAAUCGAAAGAUGUGGCAUGAUUAUGGCAUUUUCGUUAUGGACAUUUGAAUUUUGGUGGACUGAAAACUUUGCAACAGAAAAAUAUGAUAGCUGGUUUACCUCAAAUCACAACUCCUUCAGAAGUUUGUGAAGAGUGUGUUGUUGGCAAACAACAUCAAGAUAGCUUUCCAAGAGGAAAAUCGUGGAGAGCAAAAAAUAUCUUGGAGCUGGUUCACUCUGAUCUAUGCAGACCCAUAAAUCCGUCAUCUAAUGAUGAAAAACGUUAUUUUAUGACGUUUACUAAUGAUUAUAGUCGAAAAACUUGACUCUAUUUUUUGCAGAAAAAAUCUGAAGCAUUUUCAGUGUUCAAAAAUUUCAUGACUUUUGUCGAAAAGGAAGCAGGCAAAUCCAUAAAAUUUUUUUGCAGUGAUCGUGAUGGAGAGUAUAAUUCAUAAGAAUUUUUAAAUUUUUGUAAGGGGUAUGGAAUUCAGAAGCACCUUACAGCAGCUUAUACGCCACAGCAAAAUGGUGUUGCAGAGAGGAAGAAUCGUACAAUAUUGAAUAGGGUGAGGAGCAUUUUGACAAAAAGUUGUGUUCCAAAAAAUUUUUGGCCUGAAGCUGUCAACUGGAGCAUUCAUAUAUUGAACAGAAGUCCCACCUGUGCUGUUAAAAAUAUGACGUCUGAGAAAGCAUGGAGCGGACGAAAACCAACAGUGGAUCACUUCAAAAUUUUUGGAUGCAUUGCCUAUGCUCAUGUUCCAGAGCAAAAGAGGACAAAGCUAGAUAACAAGGGGGAGAAAUGCAUUUUUCUUAGUGUUAGUGAUCAAUCUAAAGCCUAUAAGUUGUAUAAUCCUAUCACCAAGAAAAUUGUCUUCAGUCGAGAUGUAAUUUUUUAUGAGAAAAAUUUUUUGCCAUGGAGCAGCAAUAUUAUUAAACAACAAAUACCUGCUGAUUUUGAUGGAGUUGAUGAAAAAAAUAGGCAGCAGUUGACAGAACAAAUUCCACCAAAUGGUUUAGAUAAUGAUCAAAUUCCUGAAUAGUAGCAGAAGAUAAAGGACGGCCUCAACGUAUUAGAAAAAGACCUGCAUGGAUGAUUGAUUAUGAGGUAACUGGAAUUGAUCAAUCUGAAGACCCACUUACAUAUUUUGCACUGUUUUCCGAUUGUGAUCCUACAGUUUUUGAAGAAGCUAUCAAAGAUUUGAAGUGGCAGAAGGCAAUGGAUGAAGAAAUUGCAACUAUUGAACGAAAUAACACUUGAGAGUUAACCAAUCUUCCAGAAGGACAAAAAUCUAUAGGUGUCAAGUGGGUGUACAAGACGAAAUUUAAGGAGAAUGGAGAAGUUGACAAGUACAAGGCACGUCUGGUAGCUAAAGGCUAUAAGCAAGAGGUUGGAGCGGAUUAUGGAGAAGUCUUUGCUCCAGUCGCAAGGCAUGACACGAUUAGGAUGAUGAUAGCCUUGGCAGCACAAAAUUCAUGGCCUAUCUUCCAAUUGGAUGUGAAAUCAGCAUUUUUACAUGGUGAUUUACAGAAACAGGUAUUUAUUGAUCAACCUCCUGGUUAUGUGAAGGUUGGAAGUGAACAUAAGGUAUACAAACUCAAGAAAGCAUUAUACGGGUUAAAACAAGCCCACGUGCUUAGUAUAGUCGUAUAGAUGCUUAUUUUUCUAUGGAGGGAUUUAAGAAAUGUCCAUAUGAGCAUUCACUUUUCAUAAAGAUUGGAGAUGGAUGUAAAUUGCUGAUUGUUUGCUUAUAUGUUGAUGAUCUUAUUUUUACUGUGAAUGACAGUGCCAUGUUUGAGAAAUUCAAGAAAUCUAUGAUGACUGAAUUUGAUAUGUCUGAUCUUGAAAAGAUGCAUUAUUUUUUGGGUAUUGAAGUGGUGUAAUCUGCUGAUGGAAUUUUUGUCUCUCAAAGAAAAUAUGUGCAAGAAAUUCUGAACAGAUUUCAAAUGUCGAAUUGUAAUUAUGUUAGUACGCCAGUUGAAGUGGAUUUAAAACUCAUCAAAGAACCAGGAGGAAAGAGGGUUGAUAGCACCCUUUACAAGCAAAUUAUGGAAAGUUUGAUGUAUUUGACAGCAACUAGACCUGAUAUUAUGCAUGUUGUAAGUCUUAUUAGUAGAUACAUGAAAAAUCCAAGGGAGACACAUCUUCUAGCUGCCAAGAGGAUUCUUCAAUACUUGCGGAGAACCAUUGAGUAUGGAUUAUUUUACAAGAAUGGUGAAAAAAUCAGAUUUGUUUGAUUUUACUGAUAGUGACUAUGCAGGCGAUUCUGAUGAUAGAAAGAGCACGUCUGGAUAUGUGUUCAUGAUGGGUUCAGCAGCUAUUUCAUGGUGUUCAAAAAAGCAACCAAUUGUUAUGUUAUCAACAACUGAAGCAGAGUAUGUAGCUGCAACCGCCUGUGCCUGUCAAGCAAUUUGGUUAAGGAAUAUUCUUGAAGAGUUGCAUUUUCAGCAAGAAGGAGUUACUACAAUUUAUUGUGACAACAGUUCUGCCAUCAAACUCUCUAAAAAUCCAGUUCUACAUGGAAGAACCAAACACAUAGAUGUGAGGUUUCAUUUUCUAAGGGAGCUCACAAAGGAUGGAAUAAUUGAUUUUCUUUACUACAAAAGUGAAGAUCAGAUUGCUGAUAUAAUGACCAAGCCAUUGAAGUUAUCCAUGUUUCAGAUAUUAAGAAAGCUGCUUGGAGUCUGUGCAGUUAAUAAAUCAUAUUAAACUGAAUGUUUGAUAAACUUUCAGUUUAAGAGAGGGAUUGUUAGAAAUAUUUACCGUUGUUAAUUAAUCAUAUUUGUUUAUGCUACCUAAUUAGUGGAGUUAGUGGAAUAACUAGUGGGAUUAGUGGAGUACCUAGUGGAGUUAGUGGAGUGAGUGGAGUUAUUGGGAUAGUUAGUGAAGUUGGUUUAAACUCUAUAAAUAGAGUAAUUUCAUGUUAUAAGUUGUGUGAGUUUUACAAAGAAAUAAACAUUUUGUCCUUUGUUUCUCUUAUUAUUUGCCUCAAUAUUUGUAUCACAAUCGAGCCAGUCCAGCCAACAAAAGGGAAAACUUCCAAUCAUGCCAAUGUAGAAAUGAACAACCGCCUCUUUCCUCUUUCAACCUUCAAAAAGAAGUCCGAUAAAAAACUCCAGAAACUCUGUUAGUGAUUAUCUACAACUCAAUCCUAGCCCCAUCAACAGAUUCAACAUAACCAAAGAAAACUAUACACAAUAAGAUCCUAAUAGUAAAUGAUGAUGAAUGUUGGGAACCAACGUGACAUCACAUUCUCCAUAUUCCAACCGAAGGCAAUGCAAAUCCAUUCAGCAUCCUCAUAACAAUAACGAAUAAAAAAUUCCCCAAAAUGCGAGAAGAUAAUAUGCUGAAAUGAUAAAUCCCUGACACUCAAUCAUUUGUGCAACUAGUUAAAUUUACCUGAUCAGGAAGCACUUCCGGAAGGCCGCUUCAAGUUCUCAAGCUAAAGCUGAGCCUCCAGAAACAUGUUCAUUUUCUCAAACUCCAAAUCCUUCAAUAAACUCAGGCCUCUGCUUCCCCAACCCCCAUCAACUGCUGCUGCUUGGCGCUCUCAAUCCUCUCGUAAAUCUCCCCACACUUCAGUAUCGGCCCCGCCAGCUAACGGAUGCUGCUCCGUUCUUUGCUUCAUUCCAUUUCCACCGCUGUACUUCUAGCGUCUUCUAUCAACGAAACGUCGAAAACACUUGCCUUUUAACUUCUAGCACUACUGCGACAUGGACGAAAGGAAAACUGGUUUCCUGUCAGUUGCAGGCUUCCGGCUUCGUGAUCUGUAGGACUCCUGAGAGCAUUGGCCUGGGGGGCGUUUGAAUCAGCAUGGGCUUGUUUGGCAUAGGCCCCAUUUUCCCAAACACUAGGCUAACAGUCCAUAAAUGGGUAUGAAGCCCAUUUGACUCGGGUUUUUAUGGACCCAACACAAGCUAACUCGGACGAAUGUUAAACACGGGGGCCUGAAACUUCCAACGGUUUGUAUAAUCGGGAUUCAAGGGUACUUGUUAAAAUAUAAUUUAAGUGUUAUAUUUUUUAAAUAUAAAAUUAAUUAAAGAAAAUAAAUAAAUACAAGGGAAGAUAGGCAAGAUUAAAUAGGAAAAGUAUAUAAAUGUAAGAGAGAAUAAUAAUUGUUAUUAUGUGUAAUAAUUACAAGAGAGGGUAGGCAAGAUUAAAUAGGAAAAUAUUAAAUGUGAGAAAGAAUAAUAAUUAUUAGUAUAUGUGCACAUAUUAUAAGUUAGAUGAAUACUAGGAAUGUUAACGAGUUCCCUAAGAGCAUCUAUUAAAAAAAAACCAACUUUGAAUUAUAUAGUAGUCAACCAACGACCCUUUGAACUGCUGUUAGCCACCACAAAAGACUUUAAGUCUUGGUGGGGUGGAAAGUCAAGGUCCCAUUAAUGUGUCACUAUAUGUUACUUUUUCUAAAUUCAUACGGUUGCGUAAUGGACUCUUCUUAUCUAAUAGUAGUUUAGCCUCCGUCAAUUUUUUUUAGGCUCCAUUGGGCCUUCCCCUCCAGUGUAGGCUUUUUUUUGGAUAAUUUUUGGUAUCUCCCCUGGAAUUUCUCAUAAUGAUUUUUUUUUUGUUGGGAUAAUUUUAGAUACCUACUCUGAAAUUUCUAAUAAUUUCGCCGACUUUUCUUGAUAUUUGAAAAAUUACACUAACCCGUGGAAUUGGGAGCCUGAUUGCUUACAUCAAUAUCACACGAGGAUAUCAAGGGACUGAAAAGAACGCAAGGACAUUAUGAAAGCAGAACCUCCUAAAUGAGACCGUUUACCCGGCGACCGACGUCAAGUGGUGCUCGCUGUACCCUCCAUGACAUUAAGAACCGCAGAAUUUGGUGUUGGCCGUUUGCAAAAUUUUCAAAGAAAGAGUCAGCGGUGCCCAGGAGAAGAUUAAAAGUUACAGCCUGGGCAAUUACUUUGUGAUGUAGUUUUAUGCCGUCCAGCAAUAAUGCCCAAGAGAAGUACUGCUUCAGAGUCUCUCAGACUUUUUGGAUUCAUGCGAAGGUGCGCUCUCCAUCGCCGUCUCUAUCCCGAAACUUUUCAAUCCAAAGUUUCAGAAAUCGCUGCUGGAUUCUUAUGCCGCCUUGAUUUAAUAAUGCCUUCCUUCCUGUCAUGCCAGAAGAAAACUGCUCCAGCAGCUCCAAGAAGUCCUGAUAGGGGAACCAACAGUAUGAAUUUGACCACCGUUUUCAUACCAAGACACUUUGACCACCAUUUCGCAUCACUUCGAAGGCAAAAAUUGUAGUACAUUUUGAUUUUAUCUGUUCCAGUCUUUGAUACAGUCCUCGUACAAGUAAAUGAGGCGUCAUGGAUGGAUGGUACUCAUAUUACAUGUUAACCCAUGGGUGUAUGCGUACCAAUCAUGAACCGACAAAAUAAACUAAACUUGCCAGAUCAAUUUAUCCUGACAUUGCCAUGAUCACAACAAAUCAUUAUCGGGAACUUAAAAAAUCUGCUAUAUAUAUAUAUACAUACACAGGAACUUCACAGAAAUGCCACUCAGUCAGGAGGCAAGUUCCUCUGAUUUAUGAUCCAGCUCAACUUUUGCAUGCACUAAUUCUUUAUGAAGAUUCCGGAUAAUAAAUCAUAUAAAACAUCGCAUGUACACAGUGAAUUAACUAACAAAUUUCAACCACUUCUUGCAUCUACAAGAGUAUUAAUUAAAUGCUGAUCAAGUGCCAACAUAUUCCGGGGUUAAUUUGCACUAGAAUAAUAAGGUCAAGCGUCCUAGAAAGGAGGAGGUCGUAGGAAGGGCGGGUCAACUGCUUGCUUUCGGGGGGACGUUACGUUGAUAAUUACAAUUGUCCAAUACAGUUUGCUUUCGAAGAACAAUCUGGCUUGCAAAUGUUUAAUUAAGCGAACUUCAUGGAUGUUGUUCUCUCCCAAAUGGGGAAACAAAAAAGAGAUGUUUAACUAAGUAUUCUUUUAACAUGACUUUUGAAUUACCAAUCACUUAAAUACGUUUCUGAAUUCCCAAUCACCAUUAAUGCUAAAGUAUAUUAUUCAAUAAAAGUUUUUUCAAAUAAUCUCCUAUCCAUUCCAUAAGAGGUCAAAAUAGAGCACAUGGGAUUUUAAGAAACUCUACUAAUGUUCAUAAGAUUCUAAAGUUUUUGAUCAAAUCAAAACGACUUUUUUUUUUCUUUGCAUCAGAAAUUUUUAAGAAUUAGUACGUAGUUAAACCCUAAUCCCAAAUCAACCUCAAAAGCCACGGUGGUAAAUCAAAAUGACUUGAGAGUCCAACUUCUACUCAACUUUGACACGCAUGUUUUUCAACCUUUGCAUUUAAUCAAAAACCGAACCACUCUAAAUGUGGUUAGGAAUGACGCUUUUGAGGUGCAUAGAUCAUUAGGCUUUUUAAGAUUCAUCGGACUUUUUUUUUUCUUUGGAAAAAAAACAACAAACAAAAAAAAGGUUAGGACCUGAAUAGGAGACAGAAUCGUUCAUCCCAGAUAAUAUAUUCCCUCUGGAAAUAAAGAUCCAAAAUCUGUGAAGUACACAUCUUUGCUUUUGUGCUUGCCUUUUGUGAAAAGACUCGAAGCGUUGAAUCAAUUCCAGCUACAAUUCUUAAAGUGAGGGAGGAAAGCAAGAUAGCGAUCGCAGAGUAAAACAUGCAGAUCCAUGCAUAUCCAUACAUAAAAAAGGCAAACAAACCCAUUAAUCUCUCCAUUUUCUUAUCUUAUCCCCAUUCCACUCAAGCUUUAUACCACAUUGUCCAGCAUCUUCAUGUUUAGCAAAAGUGUGUAUUAUGCGUCACUUUUGGUCCCCGCACGGCUGGGCUCCUCGUUUGACCUCUAUGCGAAUAGGACGCCCUGCAGCUCCGAAUCUCUUAGUACAUGUCCCUCUUUUGUAUUACUGGUUUGUACCUCGGGCUCAGGACAUAUAUAUAUAUAUAUAUAUAUAUAUACAUACAGCUUUUUACGAAAAAAAUUUGGGUGGUUAUUGCCCGUAAACAAUUCCGCUUGCUUUAUGAUUAUCAUUGUCAUCAACUGUACGUGGUCUCCAUGUUAUGUGGUGCUCAUGCUCCACUCUAAAUGUCACUAAACACUAGGCAUGUAUUAAUUUAAUACAGCGCAAAUUAAGACCGACUUAACUUGUAGUCUUGCAUCUAGUGUUUUGGACGUUACAUUUGUUACUUGCACCUCUUCCUUUGCAUCAUCUACGAAAACCCUCGCCAACUUUUGGAUGUUUGUUUGCUAACCCUGACGUUGGAGGGAAACUGCUAAUUCGGGGACCUUCAUUCCAAGAGAGGGGCAUUCUAAUUGACUAUCAGUUUUUUUAAAUAUUUUUUAAGGAGGGGAGGAGGGGGGGAAUUCGGAGGGGGGGGGGGAUGUUUCUAAUCGCUAAUGGCCACGACAGGAUGGUGUGCAGGUCUGACUGCAUAAGAUGGCCAUCAAAUGAAUCAUAAGACCAUGAAAUGAAGAAUAGAAUGCAGGUAUGGCUGCAAGUUAGGGGUUUAAAUUUUAAACUCCGGCAUAUUUAGUAAAAUCCAAAGGAUAUGCAGUAGUGCACCCUUUUAGUUUAGAGGUUGGAUCCUUUCCCUUUAGUUUAGAGGUUGACCCUGCCAAAGCGAAAUUUUUGGGUUCGGGUCAAGUUCGACUCAGCGAAUUUUCUGUUAUACUCGAAUAUCAACUUGACCCAUCAACCCGAUUUGGACCCGAUUGUCACCCCUAGCUGCAAGUUAGGGGUUUAAACUCCAGCAUAUUUAGUAAAAUCCAAAGGAUGUGCGGUAGUGCACCCUUUUAGUUAAGAUGUUGGAUCCUUUCCCUUUAGUUUCCCUUGCCUCGGUUGAGUCCUCUCCUAAAAUAAAUUAGAGCAAGAAUAGGAGUGGGAGUAAGAGUUGAUGAUUGAUAAAAAAUAAAUAAAAAUAAAAACCACAGAGUGUGCAGCGGAUCACGGGCCUUACAGUUUUCAUCUGAGACCAGUUUGAGGACAACUUGGUUCUUUUCUAAUUUUUUACAUCACUAUACUACCCAUUUAUACCUCGUAUAAAUUUAUUCACGUCCUGUCACGACUUAUUUAUACCUUAACGACAAAUUGAUUUGAACGGGAAUUUGUGAGGCCCUAGGUCCUUGUGCAGCAUUAUCAACCUGAAACCCCUGACGUUCCCAAGUUUAAAUAAAUCAAUGAUUCCUUUUUCUUGCUCAUUUUCGGCGUUACAGUUCUCUAUGAUUAGCUAGAGAGAAUAAGGUGUCUUUUUUGGGUCAACUAGGUGCGUUAGUUUUGAAUCCUCAAGAUAUGCCACUACGUUAGACUAAUAGCCAGCAUAUAUGACUGUUGCAAAUCUUCCUACUUGUUCACGACAAAAAUUUAAUAUCCCGCUUAAUUUAACUUUUGCCGGAUGACGAUGACGCUGGCAAAUCUUCCUAUUUCUUCGUGAGAAAAUAAUUGAUCCAAAACAAUUGACGAUCGAGCAUAAAUCCGCAGUAAUAAUGAUAAAAAAUUCAUACAAUAGACAAAGAAAUUUCACUCCAUUUAUAAAUAAAGCUGCGACUACUGUUUAACCAAUAGCCGUUGGGACUCUUGGCCAGGGGCUUUAUGUUCUGUCUGACAGACUAGAAUUCGAACUUGACUGUCAAAUUUGAAGAUAAGGAGGGAUUAGAGGCGGCAUUUUUGGCCAAGGCUUUAUGUCUUGCCUAGCAGACCAAAGUUCGAUUUUGACUGCUAGGUUUAGGGGCAGGGAGGGAGUAGAGGUGGGGGAGGCGAGGAUUAAAGAAAAAAAUUUCUACAGCUACUAUUUACAUGCAUGGCACAAAGAAGUUGGAGGCUACAAACUUAUAAGCAGUGAGCAAAUUACUUGGGUAGUUAUUGAAUUUUUUGAAUAGUUAAGAUUUGACCACUUAAUUAUUAACAAUACAUUUUCACCCUCUGAACUAUCAAACGUGUAAAUUUUGGACCAUUUCGCGUAAUAUUACCGUUAACUCUGCCAGAUUUAAAAGUCUACAUAAUUCACGAGAAAUACUGCUAAUAGUUAGAAUUGACAAAGUUAGCGGUAAAAUCAGAUGAAAUGGGUCAAAAUUCAUACUUUCAAUAGUUGAGUGGAUAAAAACAUACUAUUAUUAAUAAUGUAAUGGUUAAAAUUCUACUAUUCGAAAAGCUUAGUGUGGUUACUCUUAUUCGCGCAAUUUACUCUAUAAACGCUGUGCAGCUUUAAUAAUAAGGGCUGGCAGCAAAUUAUUACUACUACUGAGAUGAGAAUAAUCCCGCGUAGCUACACUAUCAAACCAAGUUUAUAAACCAAUAAACUUAUGACACGUGGCCUGAGGUGACUAAAAUAAACAAACACUCUAACGCAUGAGUUAAUUUUCUCACAGAAAACUCUUGAAUAUGCAUAUUCUACACAGGGAAGCGAUUAGCCUACAAAUUUACAAUAUCUUAUCCCGAGAGGACAAGUUUUGGACCAAAUUGUUUGCUUGGAUAGAGGGUCUAGUUCUGCCGCCGGCUCAUCACCCUUGGAUACAUGCCGAGCGAGCGAUCAUAGAUGACUCUCCUACGCAAGGAUAUCGAGACAUUCUGCAAAUGCUACAAACUUCUCCUCAAUUAUAUAGUUGACAGUUUAUCAAACAAGAUCUUCUUUUCUUUUCUUUUUUUUCCCUUUUUGGGUCGAGUUGUCUUCAUUAAGAUUAAUCUCCAAGGCUUUGUACUUGGUUAAUCAUGAUGAUAUGAUAUUCACCCAUUAGCUUCUUUUCGAUGUUAACAAAAGUUUUGCACGCCGACUGCAUUAGAUUCCCCUUUAUGGUUUUACAUUUAUCUCCAGAAUGGUUGGCGUUCAUUAAUUUAACUAAAGCAUGAUUACCAAGCAUUAUUUUACUUCUUGUCCCCAAGGGAAGAGAAGCAAAACAAAAAGGCAAGACCGGCGAUAAAGAUAAUAUUCUCUGCGCUGCUGUUCUUGAUCUAGGAUAACCCAAAUUCCAGAAAUAUUCGUGCUGUCUAUAUCUAGUGCAACAAUGGCUGAGCAGGAAUAUAUGUGACGCAAAUUUAAUCUUGUGUACGCACUAGAGCUGGCUACGACCGCAGCCUAGAGCCCGACAACUCGUCUGUGCUUCGACAAUUCCUUGCUAGGCUUGAUACCCUCAAAUCAAAAUCUAGAAUUUACAGUCACCAUAUAGGAUGGUCCAUCUAGUAGCGGCAGGUCACUCGCUUUUGCAUCCCACAGCUUAUUGGCUACAAAUUCGCAACGCAUGCACAUUCAUCUUGAUUCAAUUGAUAAUAACAUACAUUUCCUCGUAUGUGAAAGAGUGUGCAUUCAAAUUCGUGGUCGAUGAUAUAAGAACUGCGUUUGUGGACGAUUUAUAAGAAUUUUUAUAAGCAACUUAUGAUUUCAUUCGGAAGCAGAUCUUGAUUAAUGAUAGUGUUCGACGCGUCCAAAAUUUUUAUUUUUUUUUUAAAAAAAAUUCAUUAAUACGGGCAAUGUAUAUGUCGUACUUACUGGAUCAUAAGGAUGGUUCGAAUUUCAAAGCAUGACAUACGAAAUUUUCAUAGGAUCCGGAGAGUUUGAAAACAAGCACAGUCAAAUUCCCCAAAUUUCAUGACGGGACUGACAUAACAAUAAUGAACUGCAACCGUUUUAAUCUCUUGCUUUCCAGAAGGCGACGCCCAAGUGCAACGAUUUGUGAUUCAAAGAAUAAUAAUAAUAACUGGUUACCAAGGGCCUCAAAUUCUUGGGUACUUGAUUAACAAGGCCAAAAAUUUCCGGGGUCACAGCAACAACUUUCAAAAGGCGAAUCCAUUUUCUGAUACUCGUUAGGUAUUAUCACAAAUAAAGUGGUAGUAGUACAAAUUUUUUCUUUAGAUUUCUUACGACCCAUUGGGCAAUAGAAUUUUGACAACAGAUGGAAGUUUCCUAAAGUGACAAACAGGAAAAAGGAAAAAACAAAAACAGAUAAGAUUGGAUGGGGCAAGAGGUCCAUUACAAAGGUGAAGCGAUCGAGCAUGCUUUUCAAACUAGCACAUUAUUUUCUGGCCGAGAAAAUCUGUUGUUUUCGGAAAGUAUUUGUACAAUAACGACCUCGCGGACUCACGCCAAAAAAAAAAAAAAA
RNAcentral lists this long non-coding RNA (34618 nucleotides) under Coffea arabica (coffee). Its description in RNAcentral is "long non-coding RNA (CARA_LNC000897)". Lineage: Eukaryota; Viridiplantae; Streptophyta; Magnoliopsida; Gentianales; Rubiaceae. The record is from RNAcentral.